GGAACGUGCAGUGGACUUCGCUGGCCUGGUAGCAGUUGCAGCUCCUGGGGCAAGCCUGACCCCCAGGAACCACCAGGGUCCACAGUGCCACCAGCAAACCCACACUUGGAUAUAUCUUCAUCUUCAAGCUUUUCCUUAUCCUGGUUGAGGAUCACAUCUUUGACAAAUUUCAAUUCGGCUUUCGUCAUGAACACAGCAGUGAGACAGCAUGGAACAAAUGACAUCCUCAGGCAUGCUGACAAAUGGUCACCUCCAGUGCGGAGUCCCUCAGGGUGCCGUCCUUGGGCCAAUACUCUUUUUGUUAAACAUGCUCUCUCUCGCACAGUUGAUCAGCCGCUUUCAGGAAAUAUCAUACCAUUGCUAUGCUGGUGACACCCAGAUCUAUUUCUCUGUCAAACCCAAUAAUGUGAACCAACUCACUGGCCUCCACAAGUAUCUACAGUAGCUGCUUCCAAAGAAUGGAUGACCCACAUUUUUGUCCGUUUGAACCCUGACAAAACUGAAGUUCUAUUAAUUGGUGCUGAAAUCAUUGUCUCUGCUGCUACACAGUUUUUUGGCGCACUGAACCAGGACAUUAAAUCCAUUGCUAAGAAUCUCUGUAUCAUAUUUGACCAGUGCAUGACAUUUAAACAUUACGUCACUAAACCUGUUAAGUUCUGCUUUCUUCAGUUAAGAAAUAUUAUAAGUAUAAAUAUCAUAAGACCUACUUUGCCCCCUUGGGCUCUUGAACAAUUAAUCCACACAUUUAUCUUUUUGCGGUUGGAUUACUGUAACGCCCUCUACAUCUGCCUCAGUCAGUCUUCUCUCAAACACUAACAGUUAAUCCAAAAUACAGCAGCGAGACUUCUAACAAGAACAAGCCAGAGGUCCCACAUUACCAUUGUUCUUGGUUCCCUCCAUUGGCUUCCCAGUUGAAUUCAGAAUCAACGACAAGAACCUCGAGUACUUACCGUAUAAAGCACGACAUGACCUUGCCCUUAUCUACAUCUCCGACCUCCUCCUCAAAUCUUCGCCUUUUAUCCAAACUGCAAAUCAAAAGGUGACCGUCUUCCACAAUCUGUUAGAUCUGCCGAAUCCUUGGACUGUUUCAAACAGCACCUAAAAACUCAUUUAUAUCAUCAAGCCUUUCUAUAGACCUCUCUUUUAUUCCACUGUUCUAUUUUUAUUGUUUUUAUUCUAGUUGAUUUCUCAUGAUGUAAUCCUUGCAUCCUUGUCUACAUUUGUCCAUUCUAAUUUAUCGGUCUCAAUUUUGCAUGUGUAUGUGUUUGUGAAGUGAUUUGUAACUGUGUGUUUUAAAAAGUGCUAUAUAAAGGCACAUUUGUAAUGCACAGACACUACA
Molecule: long non-coding RNA, 1339 nt
Organism: Phyllopteryx taeniolatus (common seadragon)
Lineage: Eukaryota; Metazoa; Chordata; Actinopteri; Syngnathiformes; Syngnathidae
Exons: 3
Source: RefSeq, a predicted model, not a curated record